RNAcentral lists this ribosomal RNA (699 nucleotides) under uncultured archaeon. RNAcentral's name for it is "bacterial SSU rRNA". It matches the Rfam family "Archaeal small subunit ribosomal RNA", at positions 85 to 786 of the family's 1478-position model. The record is from RNAcentral.
ACGGCUCAGUAACACGUCGAUAAUGUACCCUGAUGCCUGGGAUAACCUCGGGAAACUGAGGAUAAUACCGGAUAGGAGUAGGAUACUGGAAUGUUCCUACACCGAAAGAUACGUCACAUCAGGAUCGGUCGGCGGCGGAUUAGGUCGUUGGCGGUGUAAAGGACCACCAAGCCGAAGAUCCGUAAGGGCCAUGAAAGUGGUUGCCCUGAGAGGGAAACUGAGACACAGUUCCCAGCCCUACGGGGUGCAGCAGUUAGGAAAACUUCGCAAUGCACGCAAGUGUGACGAGGGGAUUCUCAGUGCGUACGUUUAACGUACGCUUUUGCCAAGAGCAAGAAUCUUGGCGAAUAAGUGGUGGGCAAGACUGGUGCCAGCCGCCGCGGUAACCCCAGCGCCACUAGUGGGAAUCGCUUUUAUUGGGUCUAAAGCAUCCGUAGCCGGUCUGUUAAAUGCUCUGUGAAAUCGUGGAGCUCAACUUCACGGUGUGCAGAGCACACUGACAGACUUGGGACCGGGAAAGGUAUUCGGUAUUCCGGGGGGAGCGGUAAAAUGUGAUAAUCCUCGGAGGACCACCAAUGGCGAAGGCAGAAUACUAGAAUGGAUCCGACGGUGAGGGAUGAAGGCUAGGGGAGCGAUCCGGAUUAGAUACCCGAGUAGUCCUAGCCGUAAACGCUGUCAGCCAGAUGUUGCACAAUCUUC